AAUCCAUGGUGUGGGCAUUUCUAAAUUAAUAUUUUGAAACGUUUCCAAGCCUCAUGGAAAUUUUCCCUUUCUAUCUAUCUAAAAACAACAACCUCUCUUUUUAUAAA
Molecule: small nucleolar RNA, 107 nt
Organism: Gossypium raimondii (Peruvian cotton)
Lineage: Eukaryota; Viridiplantae; Streptophyta; Magnoliopsida; Malvales; Malvaceae
Rfam family: Plant small nucleolar RNA R71
About the family: R71 is a member of the C/D box family of snoRNAs containing the C (UGAUGA) and D (CUGA) box motifs. Multiple nearly identical copies of this snoRNA have been identified in Arabidopsis, and it is thought to function as a 2'-O-ribose methylation guide for 18S ribosomal RNA.
Source: Rfam